UAGUCUUGAUGGCAUCUUAUUUAAUUAGUUUAUGAAGUUAAAAAUUUUUGGUUUGUUUUAUUUUGUUUAAAGAAUACAACUUCAUGCAUUUAAUAGAUAUAGAUUUGGGAACAUAGUUAUCUUCCCCCCACCUCCCUCCUACACAUAUUCAUGCCUUUCUUCCUCCUCCCCUUCCUUUCCCCUCUUAUUUUUUACAGAGAUCAAUUUUCAUCUAAUUUUUAUACUCAUAAGAUUAACUCCACACUAGGAAGAGAGUUCACUGACUAGUAUGAAGAAAAAAGGAGAAAAGAAGCAAACAAGAAAAACAUUAUUCCUCUACAGUCAAGGCAGAGUUAGACAGUGAGAGAGAGAGAGAGAGACAGAGAGAAAGGUCCGAAGCCAGGAGCCAGGUGCUUCCUCCUGGUCUCCCAUGAGGUGCAGGGCCCAAGCACUUGGGCCAACCUCCACUGCCUUCUCGGGCCACAGCAGAGAGCUGGACUGGAAGAGGAGCAACCGGGGCAGAAUCCAGCGCCCCAACCAGGACUAGAACCCGGGGUGCUGGCGCCACAGCAUUUCCAACAAUCCUAUCCACAGUGAAACCCUGGUGACUACUUCAUUCCCACCCUUGCCUUCCUGAAAAGAUAGUGGAAUCAGGUGCUUGUUAAUCAUGAGAUGUAAAAAUCCAGCUCCCUGAUAAUGGGAAGAGCAGCAGAAGAUGACACAAGUGUUUGGGCCACUGUCCCUCAGGUAGGAGACCUGGAUGAAGCCCCUAGCUUUCCCCUGGCCCAGCCUCCAUGGUUGCAGCCAUCUGAGGAGUGAACACAUGGAUGGAAGAUCUCUGUUUCUCCUUCUUUCUCUGUAACUCCGACACUCAACAUGAAUAAAAAACUUUAAAAGAAAAUAAGUGACCCCAUUGAACUACCUGCCCAAAGCAGCUCUUAUGAUUCCAGACUUGGCAACAAGUGACAGAAUCACUGUGUGAGAAUCCACAGGUUUCCCAGCCAGCUAGUUAUUGUGAAAAGCUGUUCCAAUGUUUGCAGCCUCUUUAUACUCAAGAAUGACAACAGAAUUGGAUUUUGGAUGCUGAAUGACAGGAUACAGCACAACAAUAGAAUGACAUUCUUUGUGGUGAAACAUAGGAAAGAUGUGAUGCUGUCCUCUUGUGCCCCAGUGCUUGAGAACCUGGUGAAGUGGCAACCUAGCUUAAAUGUGCUUACAUACAAUGCUCCCAGGAAACUGACUGAUGGACAGAAGAAGCUUCAGUGAUCAAUGGCUCAGAGCUAACUG
This is a non-coding RNA of Oryctolagus cuniculus (rabbit), 1266 nucleotides long. NCBI's taxonomy places the organism in Eukaryota, Metazoa, Chordata, Mammalia, Lagomorpha, Leporidae. The record is from RefSeq and is a predicted model, not a curated record.